UACGAAGGGGGCUAGCGUUGCUCGGAAUUACUGGGCGUAAAGGGCGCGUAGGCGGACAGUUUAGUCAGAGGUGAAAGCCCAGGGCUCAACCUUGGAAUUGCCUUUGAUACUGGCUGUCUUGAGUUCGGGAGAGGUGAGUGGAAUGCCGAGUGUAGAGGUGAAAUUCGUAGAUAUUCGGAAGAACACCAGUGGCGAAGGCGGCUCACUGGUCCGGUACUGACGCUGAUGUGCGAAAGCGUGGGGAGCAAACAGG
This 253-nucleotide ribosomal RNA is filed under the name uncultured bacterium. Its description in RNAcentral is "partial 16S ribosomal RNA". It matches the Rfam family "Bacterial small subunit ribosomal RNA", at positions 524 to 776 of the family's 1533-position model. The record is from RNAcentral.